Molecule: non-coding RNA, 288 nt
Filed under: Marmota monax (woodchuck)
Lineage: Eukaryota; Metazoa; Chordata; Mammalia; Rodentia; Sciuridae
Source: RNAcentral
UGCAGCUUGUGCUUUAGUACAAGAACAAUUAAAGUUGGGACAUAUAAAGCCCUCCACUUCUCCAUGGAAUACACCCAUAUUUAUUAUUAAAAAGAAGUCUGGAAAAUGGUGGUUGUUACAUGAUCUACGGGCCAUUAAUGCUCAAAUGCAGCUCAUGGGACCCAUUCAGAGAGGUUUGCCUUUGCUUUCAACAAUUCCAAAAAAUUGGCCAGUGAUAUGUAUAGACAUUAAAGAUUGUUUCUUUUCCAUUCCAUUGCAUCCUCAGGACUCCGAGCGUUUUGCUUUUAC